GAUGAACGCUAGCGGCAGGCCUAAUACAUGCCAGUCGAACGGGAUCCAGAUCAAAGCUUGCUUUGGUCUGGUGAGAGUGGCGCACGGGUGCGUAACGCGUGAGCAACCUACCCUUGUCAGGGGGAUAGCCCGGCGAAAGUCGGAUUAAUACCGCAUGACAUCAUUGAGAGGCAUCUUUCGAUGAUCAAGGAUUUAUCGGACAAGGAUGGGCUCGCGUGACAUUAGCUAGUUGGUAAGGUAACGGCUUACCAAGGCUGCGAUGUCUAGGGGCUCUGAGAGGAGAAUCCCCCACACUGGUACUGAGACACGGACCAGACUCCUACGGGAGGCAGCAGUAAGGAAUAUUGGUCAAUGGACGGAAGUCUGAACCAGCCAUGCCGCGUGCAGGAAGACGGCCCUAUGGGUUGUAAACUGCUUUUAUACGGGAACAAACGUCGGUACGUGUACCGGUCUGAGUGUACCGUAAGAAUAAGGAUCGGCUAACUCCGUG
RNAcentral lists this ribosomal RNA (490 nucleotides) under uncultured bacterium. Its description in RNAcentral is "partial 16S ribosomal RNA". It matches the Rfam family "Bacterial small subunit ribosomal RNA", at positions 28 to 507 of the family's 1533-position model. The record is from RNAcentral.